RNAcentral lists this transfer RNA (70 nucleotides) under Euxiphydria potanini. RNAcentral's name for it is "tRNA-Thr". Lineage: Eukaryota; Metazoa; Arthropoda; Insecta; Hymenoptera; Xiphydriidae. RNAcentral also lists the same sequence under 1 other name. The record is from RNAcentral.
AGUUAAAUAGUUUAAAUUUUAAAAAUAUUAAUUUUGUAAAUUAAUGAUAUUAUAAAUAUAAUUUUUUCUU